RNAcentral lists this long non-coding RNA (2654 nucleotides) under Capsicum annuum. RNAcentral's name for it is "long non-coding RNA (CANN_LNC007182)". Lineage: Eukaryota; Viridiplantae; Streptophyta; Magnoliopsida; Solanales; Solanaceae. The record is from RNAcentral.
GGAUCAAGCCUGUACUUUGAUCGAUUUUAUUCUAUUUAUAUGUUUAGGCUUUUUAGCUUCAUGUGUCAAAUCAAAUGGGCUUGAGAGACAGUCUUGUGCUCUCUAGUUAGCAGCACGUACCAGAGCCUUUAGUUUAGCCGCUGUACAGGUCUCUAUUAGAUAGCGGGAAAAGAAUGCAUUUAUUAGAGUGACCUUUGCAAGGAUAAGAAAGAUAAUAAAGGACUGACUGAGUAGGCAUUUGAUCACUCUCUAUACGAAGCUGGAGUUAUACGCUCCAAGACAAGACAUCCUACAUCAGUCUGUCUAUUUUCAUUCAUUGUCCACUCUUUUCCGACAAACUGCAAUUAGGCAAUCCUUUGUGGCGGAUUCCGAGUCAGUUAAAAUCUUCCGUUUCUCACUUUACCCUUGGAGUCGUGCCACGGCCCUGUACACAAAUGAUAUCUCUCGAUUCUCUAGUCUCAUUUCUGAGUUAAAAAAGUCAAACUUUCUUGGAAGAAUCCUUUUUAUAGGUGAAAGGGCCGACCCUUGGACCUAUUCUAUUCAGUCCAAACAAAGAACAAUCAAUGAUUUCUUUGAUGGCAUUUCUAAAUGAGAAUGAGUCAGAGGAGAGGGGUGGUUCUUCUUUAUUCUUUUCCUAGAAAACGUCAAAUUGAAAUCCCUACAAAGGCACCGAGAGCUCUAAUGAUGAGUAGAAAAAUAAAGUUGACCAUAACAAAAAAAGAUGUUGGAAUGCACGGGACAGGAGGAGAGUGUCUCCUGCCUCUGAAUGGCAAGCUUGAGUUUGAACCUGGUCUAUCUCAUUGGUUAGCCAGUCCCACAGACAGAAAGAAACUGAUAGAAAGAUUCGGGCGAUAAAGUCCGAGACUCUGAGCUCUUACUAUGACUACGAGCAGUAGCUGUGGCCAAGACACGAGCAAGAGAAUAGCCAUUCUGUCGCACCUUCUUAACUGGACACCUUUCUGACAUCAAGGCAACUCCAACUACCGGAAACAGCCGUUACAUUAGCUCGAACAUUCGAUUGUGAGAUGAAAUUAAACUCUCACCUCCCUUCAAGAAAUUGAAUUGAGUCACCUGUCCCCUAUUAGAGAGGAAGAGUGACGUUGUGUCCAGUCAUCGUCUAUUCACAUUCAACUAAAAUAACUGGACUUUCACUUAGAGUUUGAUUAGCAUAAAGUGCCAGCCCAGCUAGGCUGAGUUCCGUUCCAUUGCUUUCCCAAUAAGUGAAGUAGCGAAACCUCCCUCUGAAUGAACAGAAGCGGAAUGCAACUCAAAAAAAGUUCUAGGAUCACAAUGAGGUCCCACGAAAAAAUGAGCUGAAACGGAGCAAAAGGGAAAGCCCGCGCGCGGGAAGCAAAGUACCAUCGUGCACACUCAUCAAACCAAUGAUCGCUGCCAAAAAGACGGUGAGUUCGAAGCCACUUCCUAUAUCCGAUAUCCGAGGAGAUGGAAUUGUGAAGAACCUGACGAAGAUGAUGAUGUCCAAAACCCGGUAGAACUAAGGUAGUUAAGUUCUCCGAGGUUUAAUCUCCUACCUUGCUUCCAUUCUUUAAUGGCAUUCUGCAGUUCAAUGUCGGCGAAGCCUUGCAUUGAAUAGGUUGUUAUAAGCCUGACUUGGAGGCUUGAGAGACAUUCUUGUGCUCUCUAGUUAGCAGCACGUACCAGAGCCUUUAGUUUAGCCGUUGUACAGGUCUCUAUUAGAUAGCGGGAAAAGAAUGCAUUUAUUAGAGUGACCUUUGCAAGGAUGAGAAAGAUAAUAAAGGACUGACUGAGUAGGCAUUUGAUCACUCUCUAUACGAAGCUGGAGUUAUACGCUCCAAGACAAGACAUCCUACAUCAGUCUGUCUAUUUUCAUUCAUUGUACACUCUUUUCCGACAAACUGCAAUUAGGCAAUCCUUUGUGGCGGAUUCCGAGUUUGUUAAAAUCUUCCGUUUCUCACUUUACCCUUAGAGUCGUGCCACGGCCCUGUACACAAAUGAUAUCUCUCGAUUCUCUAGUCUCAUUUCUGAGUUAAAAAAGUCAAACUUUCUUGGAAGAAUCCUUUUUAUAGGUGAAAGGGCCGACCCUUGGACCUAUUCUAUUCAGUCCAAACAAAGAACAAUCAAUGAUUUCUUUGAUGGCAUUUCUAAAUAAGAAUGAGUCAGAGGAGAGGGGUGGUUCUUCUUUAUUCUUUUCCUAGAAAACGUCAAAUUAAAAUCCCUACAAAGGCACCGAGAGCUCUAAUAAUAAGUAGAAAAAUAAAGUUGACCAUAACAAAAAAAGAUGUUGGAAUGCACGGGACAGAAGGAGAGUGCCUCCUACCUCUGAAUGGCAAGCUUGAGUUUGAACCUGGUCUACCUCAUUGGUUAGCCAGUCCUACAGACAGAAAGAAACUGAUAGAAAUAUUCGGGCGAUAAAGUCCGAGACUCUGAGCUCUUACUAUGACUACGAGCAGUAGCUGUGGCCAAGACACGAGCAAGAGAAUAGCCAUUCUGUCGCACCUUCUUAACUGGACACCUUUCUGACAUCAAGGCAACUCCAACUACCGGAAACAGCCGUUACAUUAGCUCGAACAUUCGAUUGUGAGAUGAAAUUAAACUCUCACCUCCCUUCACGAAAUUGAAUUGAGUCACCUGUCCCCUAUUAGAGAGGAAGAGUGACGUUGUGUCCAGUCAUC